Non-coding RNA from Merluccius polli (Benguela hake), 75 nucleotides. Lineage: Eukaryota; Metazoa; Chordata; Actinopteri; Gadiformes; Merlucciidae. The record is from the annotation of a GenBank genome assembly.
GGGUAGCGCAGUGGCUAGGGUGUUGGACUCCCAGCCGAAAGGUACUGGGUUCGAUCCCCGAUGUCACACAGCCUA